Molecule: ribosomal RNA, 347 nt
Filed under: Pseudomonas sp. HPC1258
Lineage: Bacteria; Pseudomonadati; Pseudomonadota; Gammaproteobacteria; Pseudomonadales; Pseudomonadaceae
Description: bacterial SSU rRNA
Rfam family: Bacterial small subunit ribosomal RNA (bases 12-294)
Source: RNAcentral
GGAAAGGUGAGACUCCUAGCGAUGGAGGACUUGCUCCUUGAUUCUUCUGGCGGACGGGUGAGUAAUGCCUAGGAAUCUGCCUGGUAGUGGGGGACAACGUUUCGAAAGGAACGCUAAUACCGCAUACGUCCUACGGGAGAAAGCAGGGGACCUUCGGGCCUUGCGCUAUCGAUGAGCCUAGGUCGGAUUAGCUAGUUGGUGAGGUAAUGGCUCACCAAGGCGACGAUCCGUAACUGGUCUGAGAGGAUGAUCAGUCCACUGGAACUGAACACGGUCCAACUCCUACGGGAGGCAUGGGGAAUAUUGAAAAAGGGGGAAGGCUGUCCCCCUGCCCCUGUGUAAAAGGU